RNAcentral lists this long non-coding RNA (5873 nucleotides) under Lactuca sativa (garden lettuce). RNAcentral describes it as "long non-coding RNA (LSAT_LNC001356)". Lineage: Eukaryota; Viridiplantae; Streptophyta; Magnoliopsida; Asterales; Asteraceae. The record is from RNAcentral.
AGACGUAAGCCUUUAGAAUUCAAAGUUAGAGAUAAAGUAAUGUUGAAGGUCUCUCCAUGGAAAGGUGUAAUUCGAUUCGGUAAACGAGGCAAACUAAACCCACGGUAUAUAGGACCUUUUGAAAUUCUAGCUAGAAUUGGUUCUGUCGCAUAGCAACUCAGGUUGCCUCAAUAGCUAAGUAAUGUACACGAUGUUUUUCAUGUAUCAAAUCUCAAAAUAUGUCUAUCCGAUGACACUCUUGUGGUACCUCUCCAUGAGAUACAAGUCAAUACCAAACUCAAUUUUGUAGAAGAACCCGUCGAGAUCAUGGAUCGAGAAGUCAAAGAUUAAAGCAAAGUCGUAUUCCCAUAGUGAAAGUUCGAUGGAACUCUUUGCAAGGACCUGAAUUUACUUGGGAACGUGAAGAUCAGAUGAAAGAAAAAUACCCCCAUCUGUUUGACAAAAACCUAACGACAAGAUCAAUUUCGGGACAAAAAUUUUCUAACGGGGGGAGAAUGUAACACUAGCCAAAAUAGGUCAAAAACAAUCACAUGUGAUUAUGCCAAUCAUGUAAUGUGAUUAUGUUAACCUAGUAAUGUGGUAAGAAUGUUAUGUAGUUCAUGAUAAAUUCUAAUACAAAAAUGAACUUUCUUUAUGAUACAACUCAAAGUAUACGUCCAUACGUUUCCAAAAAUAUAGAGAACGUCUGAAUCUGAUUUCGCAUGAAGAAGUUAUGAUAACCGAACACUAUAAAUCUCUAUAAUACGAGAAAUUUAAAAUAGAAUUAGAAUUAGCUAUUUAAGUCUAAAAGAGAGUUGUAGUACUCAUAAAUACCUACGCGUUCAUAUAAAGAACGUCAAAAACGGAGUUCGUACACAAAAGUUAUGGCCUUCCGAAGAUUUAGAUUUGAAAAACCCUAAACUAGCUAAUUCACGACGUGAGUUUUAUGACACUCACGACGUGAGGAGUCAUUCUGUCAUAAUUCUGAAUCUAGAAUCUGCGAGAGGAUAGGAUCCAACAUUCACGACGCGAGUUUUAUGACACUCACGACGUGAGGAGUCAUUCUGUCAUAAUUCGGAAUCUAGAAGCUGCGAGAGGAUAGGAUCCAAAUUUCACGGCGUGAGUUUUAUGACACUCACGAUGUGAGGAGUCAUUCUGUCAUAAUUCACUUAGGUUUCUGGUAGAUAAGUUACAACUAGUGGUUAUGUAAAUAGAGAAAAUCAAACUAGUUAAGGCGAAAAGAGGAAAGUUUAUAGCAAGGAUGUAGAAAACCUUGCAAAUUUUGCAAUGUUUAUAGAAACUUUUCUCUUAUAAACCUAAAUAAACUGAUGUAACCACUGGUAAUAAUAUGAAGCAUACGUUAUAGUAAUCAUUAUGUUGUCUAUUAUGUUUUACGCUGUGAAUAAUAACUAGAGUAUUUAGUACUCGUAUAUUAAAUGAUCAACAAAACUCAUAAAAAUUCUUAUUAUUUAUAAUAGAAACUAAAACAAAAUGCCUAGAAGGAGUAAUUGGCUAAACCCUAACCGACCAUCAGCACCACAACAACAACAACCACAACCACCAUCAGAAAUAAACCCCUCAGUAAGUAUAGUGCCACUUGAAGAAAUCAUAACUCAAAGAAUUGUUGUGGCUCUAUCUAAUGUCACAAGAGAUGGAGUUAGAAAUGAAGGCCAUGUAGGGAUCGCUAGAACAUGUACCUACAAAGAUUUUAUGAAUUGUAGGCCAAAAAUCUUUCAUGGAAAUGAAGGGGUAAUGAAUUUGACAAGGUGGAUAGAAAAGUCAGAAUCCGUCUUUCAAAUAAGUUUUUGUCCAGAUGAUUGUAAAGUAUGAUUUGCAGCAUGUACUUUCGCUGACGCAGCACUUACAUGGUGGAAUAUCCAUGUGAAUACAAUAGGAAUUGAUACUGCAAAUUCCAUGAAAUGGGAGGAGCUAAAAAUGAUGCUAGUAGAGGAGUAUUGUCCUAGGGAGGAAAUACAUAAGCUGGAACAAGAAUUGUGGACCCUAACCAUGAAGGGUUCAGAGAUAAAAGCUUAUACGACUAGGUUCAAUGACCUUGCAGUAAUGUGUCCAACACUUGUAACUCCUUAAUAUAAGAAGAUUGAGCGAUAUAUCUGGGGUUUAGCACCGCAAAUCAAAGGCAUGGUGAUCGCAUCAAAGCCUACGACUUAUGACAGCACCAACAGGAUAGCUCAUCAGCUAACCCUCACAGAGAUCCAAGGAACAGAAAGUGGUCUCAAAGGCUGAGUCUCCCAAAGCUAGAACAAACAAGCGCAAGUUUAAUACGAAGAAUCCCAAACAAUCAUCUGAGAAAAGACAAGAAGUGGCAACUAACUACGCAACGACAACAACAGUACCUACUCAACCAAAGUCUGCAUGGUGCAACCACUGCAACCAUCAUCAACCAGGUGACUGUUUUGUUUUCACUAAAUGCAAAAAGAAGGGGCACACUGCCAGUUACUGCAGGAGCACAACACCUGCAACAGUCAAUCAACAAACAAAUACUGGAAUAGGUCGUGGUGAAGAAAGAAAGUGUUAUGAGUGUGGAGAAGUUGGACAUAUCAAGAAAGAAUGUCCAAAGUUAAGGAGUCAAGGAGGCAUAGGACGUGGCAGGGCGUUUGUGAUCGGAAGCAGAGAGGCUAUCCAACACCCUUCAGUUGUAUCUAGUACUUUUCUCAUUUUAUACGCUAGCAUACUCUUCAACUCUGGAGCAGAUCGAAGUUUUAUAACUCCGACAUUUAGAAAAUUGUUAAGUCAUAAGUCUAGCAUAAUAAAAGAAAUCUAUGAAGUAGAAAUCGCUAACGGUUAAACUGAGAAAACACAUGAAAUCCUAGAAAACUGUCUGUUAACUCUUAAUAACUACCUUUUUCAUGUCAACCUCAUGCCAAUGCCUAUCGGUAGUUUUGAUGUCAUAAUUGGCAUGGAUUGGUUAUCUUCACAUUACGCCGAAAUUCUAUGUCAUGAGAAAGCCAUACGACUACCCUUACCAAAUGGCAAAGCCCUGAUUAUCUAUGGUGAUAAGUCUGGGAAAAACCUCAAAGUCAUUUCUUGUACCAAGACACAAAAAUAUCUACAUAAGAAAUGUAGCGCAUUCUUGGCCCACAUUGUAGAUAAGAGAAGAAAGAUAAAAGAAAUCAAGGACAUACCUUAAGUAUGUGAUUUCCCUUAUGUAUUUCCUGAAGAUCUACCUGGAAUACCUUCCGUCCGACAAGUGGAGUUUCGAAUCGACUUAAUUCCAGGAGCAGCACCAGUAGCGAAAUCUCCUUAUCGGUUGGCUCCAACCGAAAUGCAAGAAUUAUCUAGUCAACUAGAAGAACUUAUUGAAAAAGGCUUUAUCCGACCAAUUUUUUCUCCUUGGGGAGCACCAAUCUUGUUUGUCAAGAAGAAGGACAGAUCCUUUCGAAUGUGUAUUGAUUAUCGGGAGCUGAACAAGCUAACGAUCAAAAAUCGUUAUCCGCUUCCAAGAAUUGAUGAUUUAUUCAAUCAACUGCAAGGAUCUAGCUACUACUCAGAGCACAAGAAGACGACAUUCCAAAAACAGCAUUUAGAACUCUUUAUGGUCUUUAUGAGUUCUUAGUUAUGUCUUUUGGAUUGACUAACGCCCCAGCAGUGUUUAUGGAUCUCAUGAAUCGUGUUUGCAAACCAUACUUGGAUAAAUUCGUGAUCGUAUUUAUCGAUGAUAUAUUGAUAUAUUCACGAACCAAGGAAGAACAUGGUCAACACCUGCAAAUAAUCUUGGAACUACUAAGAAAAGAAAAGUUGUAUGCUAAAUUCUCCAAAUGUGAGUUUUAGAUUAGAGAAGUACAAUUUUUAGGUCAUGUAGUUAGCAAUGAAGGAAUUCAUGUUGACCCAUCCAAUGUUGAAGCAAUCAGGAAUUGGGAAGCACCAAAGACGCCAACAGAGGUGCAUCAAUUCCUAGGACUUUCUGGCUAAUACCGCAAAUUCAUAGAAAUUUUCUCCAAAAUAGUCAAGCCGCUUACAACACUAACCCAGAAGGAUACGAAGUUCAACUAUGAAGACAAACAAGAAGUAGCUUUUCAGAAACUAAAGCAAAUGUUGUGUAGUGCACCAAUCCUAUCCCUUCCAGAGGGGACACAAGAUUUCGUUGUAUACUGUGGCACAUCAAAUCAAGGAUUCGGAUGUGUGUUGAUGCAAAGAGGAAAAGGUAUCGCCUAUGCAUCACGACAACUUAAGGUGCAUGAGAAUAAUUACACCACCCAUGAUCUUGAAUUGGGAGCUAUAGUUUUUGCACUAAAAAUCUGGAGACAUUACCUAUAUGGUACUAAGUGUACUAUUUUUACCGACCACAAGAGUCUUCAACACAUCUUCGACCAAAAAGAUCUUAAUAUGAGAUAACGAAGAUGGGUCGAAUUGUUGAAUGAUUACGAAUGUGAGAUUCGUUAUCAUCCCAGAAAGGCAAACGUGGUAGCAGAUGCCUUAAGCUGGAAAGAAUAUAUUAAACCCCAUCGGGUACGAGCAUUAACUAUAACUAUCCAUUCUAACUUUACCUCACAAAUUAGAGAAGCUCAGCUUGAGGCUCUAAAAGAAGAAAACAUCAAGAACGAAGCUUUGCGAGGAAUGGAAAAGCAACUUAUACAAAAAGAUGACGGAACGCGACACUUUAUGAACCGAAUUUGGACGCCUAAGUUUGGUGGAAUCAGGGACUUGGUCUUAGAAGAAGCCCACAAGUCCAGAUAUUCCGUGCAUCCAGGCUCUUACAAAAUGUACUUGGAUUUAAAAGUACAUUAUUGGUGGCAAAACAUGAAGGCAGAAAUUUCUACUUAUGUGAGCAAAUGUUUGACGUGUUCUAGAGUGAAGGCAGAACAUCAAAAGCCUUCAGGUUUACUUCAACAACUAGAAAUACCAGAAUGGAAAUGGGAGCAGAUUUCAAUGGACUUCAUCAAUAAGUUACCCAAAACUCCUAGUGGGUUCGACACUAUUUGGGUAAUAGUCGAUAAAUUGACUAAGUCUGCCCAUUUCUUACCAAUUAAGGAAAUUGUUAGAUUGAGGGAGUUCCAAGUUCUAUUAUUUCUGACCGAGAUAGUAGAUUCACUUCACGAUUUUGGCAAUCUCUACAAAAAUCCUUAGGAACACGUCUAGACAUGAGUACAACUUACCAUCCACAGACUGAUGGUCAGAGUGAGAGAACCAUUCAAACUUUAGAAGAUAUGCUCCGAGCCUGUGUAAUAGACUUUGGAAAUGCAUGGGAUACUCAUCUACCGUUAAUUAAGUUUUCCUACACCAAUAGUCAUCACACCAGCAUCAAGGCUGCACCGUUUGAGGCUCUUUAUGGACGAAAAUGUCGUUCCCCAGUAUGUUGGGCAGAAGUUGGAGAUACGCAGAUGGCCAGAGAACAUACAGGCGAUACCUUACGUACUGGACCAGAAAUAUUCCAUGAGACAACUGAAAAGAUCGAUUAAAGGCUGCACGUGAUCGUCAAAAGAGCUAUGCUGAUGUAAGACGUAAGACUUUAGAAUUCAAAGUUAGAGAUAAAGUAAUGUUGAAGGUCUCUCCAUGGAAAGGUGUAAUUCGAUUCGAUAAGAGAGGCAAACUAAACCCACGGUAUAUAGGACCUUUUGAAAUUCUAGCUAGAAUUGGUUCUGUCGCAUACCAACUCAGGUUGCCUCAAGAGCUGAGUAAUGUACACGAUGUUUUUCAUGUAUCAAAUCUCAAAAUAUGUCUAUCCGAUGACACUCUUGUGGUACCUCUCCACGAGAUACAAGUCAAUACCAAACUCAAUUUUGUAGAAGAACCUAUCGAGAUCAUGGAUCGAGAAGUCAAAAGAUUAAAGCAAAGUCGUAUUCCCAUAGUGAAAGUUCGAUGGAACUCUUUGCAAGGACCUGGAUUUUCUUGGGAAUGUGAAGAUCAGAUGAAAGAAAAAUACCCCCACCUGUUUG